This 240-nucleotide unclassified non-coding RNA is filed under the name soil metagenome. RNAcentral describes it as "partial contains 5.8S ribosomal RNA, internal transcribed spacer 2, and large subunit ribosomal RNA". The record is from RNAcentral.
AACGCACGAGACCUGCGGACCUGCGGAAGGAUCAUCAUUGAAUCAUAUCUUUUUUUCAAGUUUGGAAGGGGGAGAGGGAGAGUUUUCUCUCUUUUGAUCUUCUGGCUUGGGAAAACAAACAACUUUGAUACCCAAAAAGAGUCGUAUUAUCUUUCCUGCUUUUGGUCUCUUCGGUGUUUUUUGAAGCUUUUCCGGCUUAUUUAUUUGGGUUGGUUUUGCUGUGGGAGGCCCGGGAGAGAA